Molecule: ribosomal RNA, 373 nt
Filed under: uncultured organism
Description: bacterial SSU rRNA
Rfam family: Bacterial small subunit ribosomal RNA
Source: RNAcentral
CAGAGGGGGCUAGCGUUGUUCGGAAUUACUGGGCGUAAAGGGCGCGUAGGUGGCCUGUUAAGUCGAACGUGAAAUCCCCGGGCUCAACCCGGGAACUGCGUCCGAGACUGGCAGGCUCGAAUCCGGGAGAGGGAUGUGGAAUUCCAGGUGUAGCGGUGAAAUGCGUAGAUAUCUGGAGGAACACCGGUGGCGAAGGCGGCAUCCUGGACCGGUAUUGACGCUGAGGCGCGAAAGCCAGGGGAGCAAACGGGAUUAGAUACCCCGGUACGUCCUGGCCCUAGACGAUGAAUGCUUGGUGUGGCGGGUAUCGAUCCCUGCCGUGCCGAAGCUAACGCAUUAAGCAUUCCGCCUGGGGAGUACGGUCGCAAGGCUG